GGUGCGGGGUCGCAUGUGAGCCGUGCCCGGGGCUCCCGUGGUGCCCGGUGUGGGGGCAGCGCGGGGCCUGCUGGCUGCUGUGAGAGCCCAGUAAGUGGCUGUGCAGGGCAGGGAGCCCCAGCGUACACACAAACUUGUAAUUGUUACAUCAUCUAUACCUGGGGUCGUGAGAGACCCCCACAGCCUCGUCUGUAGUCGCGGUACUCGGGGAACGUGACGUGUGUUUUUUUAUCUUUUGGCUUGUUGACUCGAAGGGUUGUGACUAAUUUGGAAAAACGCUAGGUCAUCUCUGUUUCCUGUCAGCCUGUGGGAGGAAUCGCCGCUCACGAAGGGUGACAUGGCUUUUGCUCUAAAAUUUCAAAUUUCAGUAGUGCCCUCUCCAGAAUGCAAGCUUCAGACUUCUCUUUUGCUUUACUGUUUUUAUUAUUUCAACUCACAUUAUGUUCUGUAAGUUUUUAAUACAAAAAUCUUUGUGAUUCAUGCCUUGAAUUGAAUAUUUCAAAGAUUCCUUAAACUGUAAGUUGUAAAUGUUCUGGCAGGCCAGGCCAUAAGUUUAGCUUGGUCAAAAGAUGAACAAGCCAACAAACCUCUCUUAACGACAACGGAGGCAUCUUGUUUAAGAUAGAUUUCUUCACCAGAUGCAUGAUUAUUUUUCAAGCUGAGUCUAUGUACAAAUAUAACUGUUUUUUAGCCAGAUCAUUGCAAAUUGAGACGAUUUUUAAUAAAAGAUGUGAGCUAAUUAUGAUCAUUUUCACGAAGGAGUACCUUAACUUCAGUCUGCCCAAGAUCAAUAUAUGCUCUUCUUAAAACUACUUUGUUUUCCUAAAAAAAAAACUAGGAAAUCAUUCACUGCUCAGAUGUUAAAGAGGACAAACAAAAACCUUUUAUAAGCCUGCAGCUACCCCAGCAGAGCUUCACAAGUGCUCACAGCCUCCCACUGAAUGUGCUGCUUGUCCAUGUCUAUCUUUCCUUGGGAAGGAGACCCAGCAGUCCCUCAGAGCACCGCUUUCUUGUGAUCUCAGGCUGUGAUGCAUGAAAGCAUACAGGAGAUUAAGACUAGAUUAUUUCUGUGAUGAGAAAAUAGAAGAACCAAAUAAAAUACCAAAACCAGAGCUGCAGAGGCCACUGAUGGGGAACUGGUAGUCACCUGUGGGCCCACGCAUUUCUGUACUGGCUUAAGGAGGCUGGAUGGUUCCGAGGGGCAACCAAGCCAGUCUUUUUGCUGCGGGUGGGAAGAACUAUACGUGCCGGAUCUCCUCCCAAGCUGGCUCUCAAAAAAAACAAACAAACAAAAAAAACCCUUCAGUUCUAUGGUUUUCAGAACUAGUUGCUGCCCUCAAACAAUGGCAGAUUCACAUAUCAAAUCAUACGUGUCCUGAUUCUCUAGAUGCUCUUCACAGUUAAUGAGAAUGCUCAUGGAAUUCAGCCUUUGUGUAAGAAAGACCUUCUGACAUGCAUCUUCCAUUAUGGCUAAACAGCCACAGAUAGUUAAUGCUUUUUUAGACAUUCCCAGUCCUUAUUAAUAUGAGAAUGAAGCAUGCUGUCAAAUUGUUCACUUGGUGACAAGUCUUUUGAUCCUGUUGGCUGAAGCAUUUUUAACUAGAAUUUAGAACGUUAAGCUAUUUAGGCAGCU
Cygnus olor (mute swan) is the source of this 1633-nucleotide long non-coding RNA. RefSeq lists it as uncharacterized. NCBI's taxonomy places the organism in Eukaryota, Metazoa, Chordata, Aves, Anseriformes, Anatidae. The record is from RefSeq and is a predicted model, not a curated record. The transcript has 4 exons.